Molecule: ribosomal RNA, 253 nt
Filed under: uncultured bacterium
Lineage: Bacteria
Description: partial 16S ribosomal RNA
Rfam family: Bacterial small subunit ribosomal RNA
Source: RNAcentral
UACGUAGGGUGCGAGCGUUAAUCGGAAUUACUGGGCGUAAAGUGUGCGCAGGCGGCCGAGCAAGUCGAGUGUGAAAGCCCCGGGCUUAACUUGAGAAUUGCGCUCGAAACUACUUGGCUGGAGUGUGGCAGAGGAAGGUGGAAUUCCAGGUGUAGCGGUGAAAUGCGUAGAGAUCUGGAGGAACACCGAUGGCGAAGGCAGCCUUCUGGGCCAACACUGACGCUCAUGCACGAAAGCGUGGGGAGCAAACAGG